CCGAAUGUAUAACGCAGUGGCUAGCGCGCUUCGUUCGGGACGAAGAGGCCGGUGGUUCGAGUCCACUCACCCCGACCA
RNAcentral lists this transfer RNA (78 nucleotides) under Chloroflexota bacterium. RNAcentral's name for it is "tRNA-Pro". The stretch from base 10 to 67 matches the Rfam family "tRNA", at positions 8 to 63 of the family's 71-position model. From Rfam's summary of the family: Transfer RNA (tRNA) molecules are approximately 80 nucleotides in length. Their secondary structure includes four short double-helical elements and three loops (D, anti-codon, and T loops). The record is from RNAcentral. Lineage: Bacteria; Bacillati; Chloroflexota.